RNAcentral lists this ribosomal RNA (265 nucleotides) under uncultured archaeon. Its description in RNAcentral is "partial 16S ribosomal RNA". It matches the Rfam family "Archaeal small subunit ribosomal RNA", at positions 719 to 982 of the family's 1478-position model. The record is from RNAcentral.
ACACGACUACAUUAGAUACCCGUGUAGUCCUAGCCGUAAACGAUACUCGCUAGGUGUCGGCCACGGUGCGACCGUUGUCGGUGCCGUAGGGAAGCCGUGAAGCGAGCCACCUGGGAAGUACGGCCGCAAGGCUGAAACUUAAAGGAAUUGGCGGGGGAGCACCACAACGGGUGGAGCUUGCGGUUCAAUUGGAUUCAACGCCGGACAACUCACCAGGAGCGACGGUUACAUGAAGGCCAGGCUGAUGACCUUGCCUGAUUUUCCG